UACAGAGGGGGCAAGCGUUGUUCGGAAUUACUGGGCGUAAAGGGCGCGUAGGCGGCCUGCUAAGUCGAACGUGAAAUCCCCAGGCUCAACCUGGGAACUGCAUUUGAAACUCCCUUUCUUGAGUAUCGGAGAGGAAAGCGGAAUUCCUGGUGUAGAGGUGAAAUUCGUAGAUAUCAGGAGGAACACCAGUGGCGAAGGCGGCUUUCUGGACGGUUACUGACGCUGAGACGCGAAAGCGUGGGGAGCAAACAGG
This 253-nucleotide ribosomal RNA is filed under the name uncultured bacterium. RNAcentral describes it as "partial 16S ribosomal RNA". It matches the Rfam family "Bacterial small subunit ribosomal RNA", at positions 524 to 776 of the family's 1533-position model. The record is from RNAcentral.